Molecule: non-coding RNA, 694 nt
Organism: Vicugna pacos (alpaca)
Lineage: Eukaryota; Metazoa; Chordata; Mammalia; Artiodactyla; Camelidae
Source: RefSeq, a predicted model, not a curated record
GCACUAUGAGUGGUAGAGUGUGCAUCUCCUGAGUGCAUGCUCCAUCUGAAGCUAGCAUGUUUUUGAGGAGGCAGAACCUUGGAUCUGGCCACACACUGAGCCCCUAGAGCGUAAGACGUCUUCCCUCCCCAGCAACAAAUACUAUGUGAAAACAAGCUACAUGGCCAUGACGGUGAAUUAGAGAUUUAAGAGAACCCAUCAUAAGUAAUUCAAAAUCACUCUGGGAUGAAUCAAAGCUAUUAUGGAGAUAUUGCUGAUUGCAUUCAUUGGCACCCAGUGAUAGGGAGUGUCAUUGAACGUGAUGGUUCUGAAUGCCACAGUUACGAGAAAUCUGCGCUUACCCAUUAAUUUAUACAGCUGUCAGGAAUCACAUCUCUGGAUGCUGAAGGAACCUGCCAAUGUGAUAUCUGAGCAACUGUCAUUGCACAUGGAGAAUCCUAAAGGAAGAGAGAAGAGCCAGGAGCUAUAAAGGUGAGAAACUGUCUCCAAUUGUUAAAGGGAAGAACAUAAUUCAUAUUAGAUAUUACAGGUUUUUUGCACCAUCUAAAGUAGGCAAUUAAGUAGAUGUUGUAUUUAAAUGCUUAGCAUAUGCGAUGCCUCUAAUUAUGUACUUGAGAAAUACCCAAUAACUGAAUGGAUGCCGAUUGAGUGGAAUUAAUGAUCACUGCAGGACUGAAUGGACCAUUGAAGGGCA